Molecule: long non-coding RNA, 463 nt
Organism: Bos taurus (domestic cattle)
Lineage: Eukaryota; Metazoa; Chordata; Mammalia; Artiodactyla; Bovidae
Source: Ensembl
AUAGAACACAGUUCCUCUUUCCAGAAUGUCAUCUUCAGCCUGCUUUUCAGAACCUGUAUUUCAGUGGAACAUGAGGUCACCACAUUGCUGGAUCCAGAGUGACUUUGCAUAACCUCAGAAGAGGUCAGCUCCCCUGGUUCUUAGGCCUUUGGACUCAGACUAGAAUUGCACUGCAGGCUUUCCUGGGUCUGUAGCUUGCUGAUGACAGAUUGUGGGACUUCUCAGCCUUCAUAAUCAUGGAUCCACUUGUGUGUGGUUUUGCACCUACAUGCCAUCCUGACCCCGAAAUCAGAAAAGAAGAGAGACGAUAUAAAGGAUAUUUGUAUCAAAUCACUGGAGUGCCUCAGGGCAUGAGAAAGUUUUUGUGCUGAUUCAUUGUUACUUUAAAAAAUGCCUCAUUAUUGCAGCAAAUGCCACAUCUGAGCUCUUUCUUGUAUUAAAGAUGCAGAACACUUUCUUGAAG